Molecule: non-coding RNA, 178 nt
Filed under: Anaerolineaceae bacterium
Lineage: Bacteria; Bacillati; Chloroflexota; Anaerolineae; Anaerolineales; Anaerolineaceae
Also listed under: 1 other name
Description: 6S RNA
Rfam family: 6S / SsrS RNA
About the family: E. coli 6S RNA was the first non coding RNA to be sequenced, but its function was unknown until recently. It consists of 184 nucleotides that fold into an extended hairpin structure with a large single-stranded internal bulge.
Source: RNAcentral
GAUACCCUGCUGUGUGCGUGUGAGUGCUUUCCGGUUUUGGGCCAACACUCUUCAAAUAGGGACCGGGCUCACCGCGGGUAUGCGAUAGGCUGGAGCCAAGGCAGAGCUGAGGUGGACGGUCCCGCACCUGGUUUUUCCAGGUUCAAAACUUUGCACCAUGCGGCACGGCGGGGUUCUU